Molecule: long non-coding RNA, 1277 nt
Filed under: Helianthus annuus (common sunflower)
Lineage: Eukaryota; Viridiplantae; Streptophyta; Magnoliopsida; Asterales; Asteraceae
Source: RNAcentral
CGCCUCUCCUCUUUGCCGAUUCUCUCAAAUCAGAUCAGAUCUAGGGUUUUUGAUUUCCACAGGUAUGUUUAUCUACGCUUUUGAUUUUGUUUAUAUGUGUUUCAUAUUGCUGGUCAAUUUUGGAGGGUGCCCAUUUGUAUUUUCUUUUGUACGAUGAUUUAAAAGAUUCUUUUACACAUUACAAAUACAUGUUAGGUGGCUUUCAAUUAUUUUAAUUUGUUUUUAUUGAAAACUUUUGAAUCAAAGAUUCAAAGAUAGAGGUGUUGUUGAAUAACUGAGAUGUUAUAUCUUAUCAAAUGAAUGAAAAUCGUGCGAAAUGGGCUGAAGUAAACUGCCAUUUAUUUGAGCAAUCCAACAGUUGCGGCGGUGACAAGGAAUACGUUUCCGGCCACCCUUUUUCCGUUGAAGUUCUGGUCAACUUCUGCUUCUGAUUACACAUAUUUGAUGAAGACUGGCCUCUGCAGCAACUUUGUUCUACAGUGUGGCUGUUCGAAACCUUGGUUCUUGGCCAAGCAAAGUUUAGCAUCAUAUACAAGUACUUGGCUAAGCAAAGGGUGGGUAAAAAGAAACUGCAGUUGGUUGGUUCUGUUGUCAUGCUUUUGGCUUGACGAAGUUUCAGGACUUUUAUCUCUCAUUUUCACCUUUGGCGCAUAUAUUGAUCAGCUGAUGCGUAGCAAUGCUUUAUUAAUCAUAUUGCAUCUAAAGGAUUUUGGUGUGGGGUGAAUGGUCUGAGUUUGAGGUAAAAUUGGUUUGUGAAGAUCUGCGAGCUGCAAUGAUUUAUGCAUGGGUCUGCAACACAUAUCGCUCAAGGCCACAUGUUUUAUGUUUUAAAUUCACAAGCAUGUGGAUGCUAUGUCGCUUUACGAAGAGUUAAAACCAUAAAUGGUGUCGGUGGCGAUGAAGAUUUAUUUCUGUAUGUAUACCUCUACAUCUGUGUUGGCGAUGAAGAAUUCUUUCUUUCUGCAUAUAAUGUUUCAGAGCAUAAUAAAGGGUGAUUUUGGGAGGGAAUCACUCAAAAUAUACGGAGGUCCAUGAUUUAUGGUGUAAGAGAUGUGGUUGUGGUGUUUGGGUUGGCUGCAGUGGCGAUGAAGAUUUCUUUCUGUAUGUAUACCUCUGCAUCUGUGUUAAAGAUGAAGAUUUCUUUCUUUCUACAUAUAAUGCUUCCGAGCAUAAUAAGUUAGCGGACUUUGUGUGAAAGUGGGUCCAUAUCUUGGCGGGGCAACCUGGAUUCUGAUGCAGCCAUGACGGAGCCUCACCCACUUUGUUCUCUUUCGUAU